UGCAGUUAUAUCUGAUCAAAUGCGCAUUAUUAUUCUUUAGCUUGGGUUAAACUAAUUAAUUUUACUUGGCUGGAACAGCAGCUACGCUAAUUAUGUCUCUAUUUGUUUCUCUGUUUUGCCACAGAAUUUACAUCACGUGGUAACAAGGAUUUACACAAGCUCCAGUUUUGAUCCAGAACACCUGAGAAGAGAUGAUGCCAGCCCCUCAGAGGACCUCAGAUGAUGCUAACCCAGAGACAACAUACAGAACUACCAACUUUUGCUAUAAGUUUGAUUACAUAAUUGCUGUUAAUAGUGUUAAUCGUCUGUUUGUUUAUGUCUUUUAUUGAUUUAUCUGAACAUUUCUGCCGUAUGCACAUAAACUGACAGUCACCACUGAUAAGCUACUACUAAAUAUUGUAGAAACUUAAUUUUCUGUAAAGUUGCUUUGCAAUGAUCUGUAUCAUAAAAAGCACUAUACAAAUAAACUUGAAUUGAAUUGAAUUGAACUUUGAGAAGGUUUUAAACAACAGUGUGUCUGCCACUUGGAUGUACAGUCCAUUGUAUUACUCCAGUGAGGGUUUCGCUUUCAGGCUCUCUUAAAAGUGUAUGAGAAUUACCUUUCAGUAUAUGUUGGUCUGGUAUCUGGUGCAUAUGAUGACCAGUUGCAGUGGCCUUGUCUAUGGAGAAAAAUAACCUUCCAAAUACUUGACCAGAAUCCACACAUACAGAAGCGCAUGUCCUCUGAGAAAAGCUUCACGACUGACCCUACUUUGGUUUCUUCCUAUGGCAGAAAUGACUGGGACAAUCCUCGAAAUAAUGGAACUCGAGUUGUCAUUGGCAAUGAGACCGUAUAUGUGGAUAUUUUUUGGGGCUAUCAAUAUGCCAUAAUGAAUGAAGAUCUCACUAAAAGAGAGUUUAUCAAGGGUGAUGACAUCAUAUUUCUCUUCAGCAUGCAAGGUAGGUUUUGUGAAGUAACUUCAGGAAACCAUGUUUUAAGUGCCAAGUUCACAGACUUUUUUGUUGUUGUUGUUUGUUUAUUGUAAUUGCUUUUAUUUAUUUAUUUUAUUUUGCCAACAUGUGCUAGAGGAACAUUGGUGACUGCUGCGUCUCGCUUAUUUUUCUGUAUUUCAGGCUUUAAUGCCAGACUGUAUCAACUUUAAAAAGCAAGCUCUUAAAAAUGGAUCUUGGAACUCUGCAAUCUUUUCAGUUUCUUUCGUGUUUCAAAAAGGGGUUCUGUGUGAACAGGUUUGAUGGCAAGAAUUCAAAUGUUGUUUAUUAAUCCUCAAUACUUUGUCAUAGAUAUCUCAGGGCUAUUUCAAUCUGAGUUUUUACCCUGCCCAAAAGUGACAAUAAUGGAUUUCAGCAUUUCUUCUCAUUCAACUGCCCAGCAGGGAUCAUGUGCUACAAGGUGAAUAUCCAUUUAAGCUCUGUUGUAUGCUUAUUCAAAAUACAGGGAAAAAAGUGUUUUUAAAGGUAAACCUACUGAAAAAUGUAACACUAUUAUUAAGAAAUAAGAGAAUCUGCUAUAUUGGCUAAAUAUAAUCAUGACUAAAGUCCAUUGUAAAGGGGGUCACAUGAUGUUGCUAAAAAGAAAAAUAUUUUGUGUAAUAAAAUGUGUUAAUGUGGUUAAAGGUUAAAAAAA
Molecule: long non-coding RNA, 1624 nt
Organism: Cyprinus carpio (common carp)
Lineage: Eukaryota; Metazoa; Chordata; Actinopteri; Cypriniformes; Cyprinidae
Source: Ensembl